This 397-nucleotide ribosomal RNA is filed under the name uncultured bacterium. RNAcentral's name for it is "partial 16S ribosomal RNA". It matches the Rfam family "Bacterial small subunit ribosomal RNA", at positions 523 to 918 of the family's 1533-position model. The record is from RNAcentral.
AUACGUAGGGGGCGAGCGUUGUCCGGAAUGAUUGGGCGUAAAGGGCGCGUAGGCGGCCCGGUAAGUCUGGAGUGAAAGUCCUGUUUUUAAGAUGGGAAUUGCUUUGGAUACUGUCGGGCUUGAGUGCAGGAGAGGUAAGUGGAAUUCCCAGUGUAGCGGUGAAAUGCGUAGAGAUUGGGAGGAACACCAGUGGCGAAGGCGACUUACCGGACUGUAACGGACGCUGAGGCGCGAAAGUGUGGGGAGCAAACAGGAUUAGAUACCCUGGUAGUCCACACUGUAAACGAUGAAUGCUAGUUGUAGGGGGUAUCGACCCCUUCUGUGCCGCAGUCAACACAAUAAGCAUUCCGCCUGGGGAGUACGGCCGCAAGGUUGAAACUCAAAUGAAUUGGCGGGG